Molecule: ribosomal RNA, 510 nt
Filed under: Synalpheus gambarelloides
Lineage: Eukaryota; Metazoa; Arthropoda; Malacostraca; Decapoda; Alpheidae
Description: partial 16S ribosomal RNA
Rfam family: Bacterial large subunit ribosomal RNA
Source: RNAcentral
AUGUCUGUGUGAAAUUAAAUAUUUAGUCUGACCUGCCCACUGAUAAUUUUAAAGGGCUGCGGUAAUUUGACCGUGCAAAGGUAGCAUAAUCAAUAGUCUUUUAAUUGAAGGCUUGAAUGAAAGGUUUGACGGAGGAAAAACUGUCUUUUUGAUUUAUAUUGAAUUUAACAUUUGUGUGAAAAGGCAUUAAUAGUUAAGAGGGACGAUAAGACCCUAUAAAACUUUACAUGUUUUUGAUUGUUUAAUGAAAUUGUUAAGUUAAUUGUUAGAUAAUAAGUUGUGUUUUGCUGGGGCGGCAGGAAUAUAAAAUUAACUGUUUUAAAUAUAAAAUAUUUAUUAAUAGAAAAUGGUCCUUUGUUUGAGAGGUAAGAUUAAGUUACUUUAGGGAUAACAGCAUAAUUUCUUUUGAGAGUUCGUAUCGAAGAUGGUAGUUGUGACCUCGAUGUUGAAUUAAAUUUUCCUUUAGGUGCAGGAGUUUAAAGGGAGGGCCUGUUCGGCCUAUAAAUAUUU